RNAcentral lists this long non-coding RNA (1208 nucleotides) under Coturnix japonica (Japanese quail). RNAcentral's name for it is "lncRNA (ENSCJPG00005006824.1)". The record is from RNAcentral. Lineage: Eukaryota; Metazoa; Chordata; Aves; Galliformes; Phasianidae.
AUGCAGGCCGAGCCGACAGGUGGCAGCACGGCACUGCAUGAGGGCACGGCGCUGCGCAGAGCCUGCCCCAAUCCAGCCCGGCCUACCCGAAUCCAGCCCCCUCCCCUUCCACCACGGGUUGGAAGCGGCAGGGAGAAGCUGAUUGCAGCCUUCCCUACAUGCCAGAAAAUCUUAAUAUCGUUUGGUUGGAGGGGAUCUCAGAGAUCAUCCAUUUCCAGCCCCUCUGCCGUGGGCUGGCCGCCCCUCACAAGCCCAGGCCUGCCCAGAGCCCCAUACCUGGCAAUGGGCAGCACUGUGCAUAGAAAAUAUCUAUGUGGGAUUUGCUUUAUCAUGGUGCUGACCAUGCAGAUUCUUUGCAUAGAUCUGUAUUGCAGCUCAGGAGCUGGAGAGGCCUACAAAGCCUUUGAGUAUCGAGAACGCCAGUUCCUCACUGGCCACAUUCCACCCAUCUGGAUACGUGACCUGCUGGCAGAAGAUGGGACCUAUAAGGAGCCUGUAUGUGUUCUGCCGCCUAUUGCAAAGAAACGGGCAGAGAGACGCCCGGAGAUGAAGGAGAGGAAGGAAGAAGUCAAGCUUCCUCCUCUGCUUGGACAGCUGGGAACAUCACAGGCAAGGACACACUUCACAACACCCCAAGUCCAGCAGCGGUUCACCUCUCCUAAGAGCACCACACAGGAGAGGGAGAAACCUCGACCAGUAAAAAUCUCCAGCAAGAAAUCUAGCGAGGAGAUUACGUGCCAGCUUCCUCGAGCAGAGAAGAGGACAGUGGCCCCUCCAGCACACAUGGCAGCGCCCAAUCACCAGUCACUGUGGGCGAGACAUGUCCUGUCCACCUUGGAGUCCUACAAGGUGAACCGGGAAGGAUGGAGGAAGAAGGUGGAGCAAAACUGGCUCCAUGCUGGCCGACCCAAGGAGUACAUCAGCUUUGUGAAGAAGAUGGAGCUCCAUGAAGCCAAUGAAAAACACAAGGGCAAAUGAGAGACCAUCAGGCGGGCGCAGUGCAACCAGCUCAUACUGUGCCCACUCACACCAUGGCCAUGAAAUUGAAGCCCCAAGAUUGGCAGUACCGGGGCUGAGAGGAGCCAUAUUGAUACUGUAGAUAACUCGUUUGUUACCAUCAUUGCCUCUGCUGUAACAGCAAAGCAGAGCCAUUCCCUUUACAUGAAGUGCCAAAUAAAGAUCAUUGGAACACCUUAUAAGUUGGGGGU